Molecule: long non-coding RNA, 125 nt
Organism: Sander lucioperca (pikeperch)
Lineage: Eukaryota; Metazoa; Chordata; Actinopteri; Perciformes; Percidae
Exons: 3
Source: RefSeq, a predicted model, not a curated record
AGGAGCCGGACAUAGUAGAAUGACUUCAUCUCCAGGCACUGUUACCACAAACAGGUCAAAAGCUGCUUCAGACAGAAGGAACAACAGGAACAGAAAUGGAGCCAUGAGAGCUGAGAGAGUGUUGA